GAUGAACGCUAGCUACAGGCUUAACACAUGCAAGUCUACUUGAACUUCGGUUUGGGUGGCGGACGGGUGAGUAACGCGUAAAGAACUUGCCUCACAGACUGGGACAACAUUUGGAAACGAAUGCUAAUACCGGAUAUUAUGAGGUAUGCGCAUGCAUAACUUAUGAAAGCUAUAUGCGCUGUGAGAGAGCUUUGCGUCCCAUUAGCUAGUUGGAGAGGUAACGGCUCACCAAGGCGAUGAUGGGUAGCCGGCCUGAGAGGGUGAACGGCCACAAGGGGACUGAGACACGGCCCUU
RNAcentral lists this ribosomal RNA (295 nucleotides) under uncultured bacterium. RNAcentral describes it as "partial 16S ribosomal RNA". It matches the Rfam family "Bacterial small subunit ribosomal RNA", at positions 28 to 334 of the family's 1533-position model. The record is from RNAcentral.